RNAcentral lists this transfer RNA (71 nucleotides) under Loxodonta africana (African savanna elephant). It matches the Rfam family "tRNA". From Rfam's summary of the family: Transfer RNA (tRNA) molecules are approximately 80 nucleotides in length. Their secondary structure includes four short double-helical elements and three loops (D, anti-codon, and T loops). Lineage: Eukaryota; Metazoa; Chordata; Mammalia; Proboscidea; Elephantidae. The record is from Rfam by way of RNAcentral.
GCAUUGGUGGUUCAGUGAUAGAGUUCUCGUCUUCCAUGUGGGAGACCUGGGUUCUAUUCCCUGCCAGUGCA